RNAcentral lists this ribosomal RNA (557 nucleotides) under Thianitara spectrum. RNAcentral's name for it is "partial 16S ribosomal RNA". The stretch from base 168 to 463 matches the Rfam family "Bacterial large subunit ribosomal RNA", at positions 2074 to 2646 of the family's 2925-position model. Lineage: Eukaryota; Metazoa; Arthropoda; Arachnida; Araneae; Salticidae. The record is from RNAcentral.
UUAAUAGUAAAAUCUGCUCAAUGAAUAUUAAAUAGCCGCAAAUGUGCUAAGGUAGCAUAAUCAUUUGUCUUUUAAAUAAAGGCUAGAACAAAAGAUUUAACAUUUUUAUCUACUUAUUUGAAUUAAAAUUCAAAACUAUUCUAAAUGUAAAAAAACAUUUAUAACAAAAAAAGACGACAAGACCCUAUUGAACUUAACUUAAGUUUUACUGGGGUAGUAAAUUAAUUAAUAUUUUAAUUUUAAAAACAAAAUAAAUAUCCAAUAUUUAUUGAUUAAUUCAGUUACCAUAGGGAUAACAGCGCAAUUAUAUUUUAAAGCUCCUAUAUAAAAUUUAGAUUACGACCUCGAUGUUGAAUUAAUAACCUAAUUAAAGAAAAUUUUAAACAAGGAAGUCUGUUCGACUUUUAAAAAAUUACAUGAUUUGAGUUCAGACCGGCAUAAGCCAGGUCGGCUUCUAUCUUUUAAAAAGACUUUUACAGUACGAAAGGACCUAAAAAUAUAAUAUUAUUAUAUUAUAUUAGCAAAUAAAUGCAUUAGAAUUAGAAUCUAAAUAAAAA